RNAcentral lists this ribosomal RNA (468 nucleotides) under uncultured bacterium. RNAcentral describes it as "partial 16S ribosomal RNA". It matches the Rfam family "Bacterial small subunit ribosomal RNA", at positions 29 to 507 of the family's 1533-position model. The record is from RNAcentral.
ACGAACGCUGGCGGCGUGCUUAACACAUGCAAGUCGAACGGAAAGGCCCUGCUUGCAGGGUGCUCGAGUGGCGAACGGGUGAGUAACACGUGGGUGAUCUGCCCCUUACUUUGGGAUGAGCCUGGGAAACUGGGUCUAAUACUGGAUAGGACCAUGCUGUAGGUGGUGUGGUGGAAAGAUUAGUUUCGGUAAGGGAUGAGCUCGCGGCCUAUCAGCUUGUUGGUGGGGUAAUGGCCUACCAAGGCGUCGACGGGUAGCCGGCCUGAGAGGGUGGACGGCCACAUUGGGACUGAGAUACGGCCCAGACUCCUACGGGAGGCAGCAGUGGGGAAUAUUGCACAAUGGGCGCAAGCCUGAUGCAGCGACGCCGCGUGGGGGAUGACGGCCUUCGGGUUGUAAACGCCUUUCAGCCAUGACGAAGCCCUUGUGGUGACGGUAGUGGUAGAAGAAGCACCGGCUAACUACGUG